RNAcentral lists this unclassified non-coding RNA (244 nucleotides) under plant metagenome. RNAcentral's name for it is "partial contains small subunit ribosomal RNA, internal transcribed spacer 1, and 5.8S ribosomal RNA". The record is from RNAcentral.
UCUCCGUUGGUGAACCAGCGGAGGGAUCAUUACCGAGUUUACAACUCCCAAACCCAAUGCGAACCAUACCAAACUGUUGCCUCGGCGGGGUCACGCCCCGGGUGCGUCGCAGCCCCGGAACCAGGCGCCCGCCGGAGGGACCAACCAAACUCUUUCUGUAGUCCCCUCGCGGACGUUAUUUUUACAGCUCUGAGCAAAAAUUCAAAAUGAAUCAAAACUUUCAACAACGGAUCUCUUGGUUCUG